GGAGAGUCGCGCUAGCUUGGAUGCGAGCCCGCGCCUCUAUCUCCCCCCUCAUGAGCCGCGCACCCCGUCCCCAGGCCCAGAUCCCAUCCUACCUACGCAGGCUUGUGUGUCGCCGGCAAUGGAGGUCGCAUGCUCCUCCUCGCUCACCUCUCCAUACCGAAUGUGAACAUCAAAUCUGGUUUUUUGUGCUGGCGGCGGCCUCAAUGGUCAAAGUGAAUACGGUGCUGGUGCCUGGCGCCUACGGACCUCGCAGGCACUCCGUCUCCUCCCGCAUCCCCUGCACGGCGGCCUUUUACUCUGGUGUUCUGCUUGCCUGUCCAGUCUUUGCCCCCCACCCCCCUCCCCCUCUCAGAUAGAUCUUAAUUCUUUCCCCUUUUUACAAAUUAGUAGGGGAUGAUUUUGUGUAAACGCACGAAUAUUUCCCUUUCUAUUUUUGAGGUGUGGUCUUUUUCUUAGACGUACCAAUCAGAGGUCCAUACCAAAUAGCUAGAUGGACUGGCUAAUGGUUUUACUGAUUAUAUCUAAUAAAUAAAUAUGCUUCUAUAUGAACCUUUCUGAUAUCUUCUGAUUAAUAUGUGUUAUUCUUUCAGCUUCUACAUGAACAUGUCAUGAACCUCUCACCUCUGUACACCACAUCUAAGAACAUGCUAAGUACCAUUUGGGUAUGUGCUGAUUACAAUCUGUAGCUUGCCAAAUUCAGUUGUGCAGGUAUGUUAGAGCAUGGAGCUACCCGUUGUACCAUCAUGAGGACACACUAAAUUUUCUGACACCCCUUUUGCUAAGUAAUGUUUGAGCCUCCCUUCUCAUGGUGUUAUUUCUACAAUCAGUGGUUAAUAUUCAUGGUGGCCUGCUGAGUAUAGUGUUACCAACAUUAUAUCAAUUUGACUGCCAAUAAUUUUGUACAUUGAAUUUUUGUUCAAUACCUAUCCAUUUCUAGAUCUUAUUUUACAUGGACUACCUGGAUAGAUAUGCCUGUGAGUUUGGUAUAUAUCCAACUAUAAUCAGUACUUUCAUAAUUUGUGAACUCAUUAAUCAACAGGCUUUCUCCCUUAUUUGAUCCUCCAUAAAUGGGUGAGUGGCAAUGCUUGCAUAUUGUUUGUCCAGAGGUCAUGAAUCCAUCUUUUCUGCAAGCCUAUAUGGAUUUCUAAACAAUCAACGAAACUAUGAUGCUCUUUGUAUAUUCAUAAUUUUUCUAAAUUAAAGAAGAGGAGGAAAGCUCUAUCAUCAAACAUUUCACAGUUUUCCAUUCUUACCAAGUUAUUUUUUUUUAUCUUAGUCCACCUUAUGUUUUAGGAUUUCACAAGCAAAGUGAACUCUUGAUUCUUUCAUUUGCCCUCCUUGCAAUGACAUUCCUUACUGACCGUUCGUUGGUCCUUCUCCAUGGCACAUGGCACAAUUGCAUCUCAUGCAUCAUUCAGAUGCGCCACUCUGGAGUCUGGACUGGCCAAAAUAGAAGGCAGCGACUUGCCGGGAGAAUAGAGGCAAGGCAAGAGGCCAUCUUAACAUCCACUCCUUCAACUGCUACUUGUGGUAGAACAAAAAAGAUUGCAUUCUCCUAUGACUUCUCGCAUCUUGGACCUCAAUAAUUUGUUUAGCUAUUCGUGCAAUGUUUGAUUUGACUGCUAAUACUGAGAAAAACAUGUGAUGUACCUUAAUUGCCAUAUAGAAGCUACAGUAGUAUAAUACUAAUAGAACUCACUAGGUAAUUGAUUUGAUGCUGAUUAGUUAUAACUUAUAAGUGACUUUGUUUAAUUCUGCAAAUGUUCUUUUUAGAAUGCAGAAUUUCUUUACUGUACAAUCAUUUGUUGCUUGGUUAAAAUAAUGAAAGACAGAUUAUCAAAAUAGUUGGUGGAAACCUGCAACCAUAGUGGCUGCUCAUGAGUUUGAUACAGAUUUGUCAAGCAGGUGUGGUCGAGCAUGCAGCAAUCCCCGGUGAGGCACCUCAGAGUCAGUGGUCAGAAUUUAGCUGCAGAAAUGUAGUUAUGUCAUAGUCGAGUACUGUUAUGCCUACACCUAUGCAUCAUAAACAAACUAAAUAAAUUAGAUACAAAAUUGUAGGUCUUUCAGUAGUUGAAAGAUGCUGUUCUUCUCACAAAAUAAAAUACAAUUGAAUCGCAAAAGAAAAGAUGAUAAACUACAUCUACUUGAUCAUUUUUUUUGCCAAUGUUCUAAAUCUUAUUCUCAUCAUGACACAAAUCUAGCACCUCAACUCUUAUACUUUUCAUAUCUCCUCAUAAAUCAUCCUUGCAUUUGCUUUCGAUAUUGGGAAAUCAUGUGAGCAGUUUUGGCUACAUCUGAAUGGUAAACAAGAUAUAUUUUAGCUAUGGAAAAAAUUUAGAUGACUGUUAUCAGUUUUGUAAAUUAUAUUUCCCAUCAUGUUGAUUUAAUCUCUGCUAUUUCAUUUAUCUCUGUUUCGUCAAGUGGACCGGGGGCAACCAACACUUAUCAAGUGAAAGUUGCAGGUAUCAAAUUUUUGUAUAGUUGAGUACACAAUGCUCUGACUUAAGCUUAUUAGAAAUUCCAUCGAUUCGUUUCUUUAUUAAAAUAAAUAAUAUUUUAAAAUAUAUUUGGAUGUAUCUUGCAGCUCUGUCAUACUCAAUGCUCUGAAGUGCCUUAUCUCAAAUUAGUAUAUAGUAUGAUUUUAGCAUACUAGAAUUUCAUAGGUUACGAAGGUAAUUAAAAUCAGUGUAGUCUAUGGAUUACUCAAGUAUUUUUUUCCCAUUAUAAUUCUCAUUUCAAACAUGAUAAGCUUGGUUAUUUCCUCACUUCCUCUCCUUUUUUUUUGCAGUAUUCUAUUCUCCAGCAAUGCCAGAUCAUUUGAUUAAAGCAUCAGAUAUGAAAUGUUGCUCGAGGCGCCCUACAGUGCAGCAACCAUAUGUAGCUAUGCACUUUAUUAUUAAAUUAAGAGAUAAUAGAUUUUAUUA
This is a long non-coding RNA of Panicum virgatum (switchgrass), 2924 nucleotides long. RefSeq lists it as uncharacterized. Lineage: Eukaryota; Viridiplantae; Streptophyta; Magnoliopsida; Poales; Poaceae. The record is from RefSeq and is a predicted model, not a curated record. The transcript has 2 exons.